This 433-nucleotide ribosomal RNA is filed under the name uncultured bacterium. RNAcentral's name for it is "partial 16S ribosomal RNA". It matches the Rfam family "Bacterial small subunit ribosomal RNA", at positions 29 to 507 of the family's 1533-position model. The record is from RNAcentral.
AACGAACGCUGGCGGCAUGCCUAACACAUGCAAGUCGAACGAGACCUUCGGGUCUAGUGGCGCACGGGUGCGUAACGCGUGGGAACCUGCCCUUAGGUUCGGAAUAACUCCCCGAAAGGGGUGCUAAUACCGGAUAAUGUCUUCGGACCAAAGAUUUAUCGCCUUUGGAUGGGCCCGCGUUGGAUUAGCUAGUUGGUGGGGUAAAAGCCUACCAAGGCGACGAUCCAUAGCUGGUCUGAGAGGAUGAUCAGCCACACUGGGACUGAGACACGGCCCAGACUCCUACGGGAGGCAGCAGUAGGGAAUAUUGGACAAUGGGCGAAAGCCUGAUCCAGCAAUGCCGCGUGAGUGAUGAAGGCCUUAGGGUUGUAAAGCUCUUUUACCCGGGAUGAUAAUGACAGUACCGGGAGAAUAAGCUCCGGCUAACUCCGUG